UAGUCAUAUGCUUGUCUUAAAGACUAAGCCAUGCAUGUCUAAGUAUAAGCACUUGUACAGCAAAACUGCGAAUGGCUCAUUAAAUCAGUUAUAAUUUAUUUGAUGGUACAAUUACCACUUGGAUACCCGUGGUAAAACUAGAGCUAAUACAUGCACAAAAACCUGACUGGUAACGGAAAGGUUGUAUUUAUUAGAUACAAAACCAAUAUUUUAAAGAGAGCAAUCUUUUUAAAAUUUCAAUUGGUGAUUCAUAGUAAUUUAACGAAUCGUAUGGCCUUGCGCUGACGAUAGUUCAUUCAAAUAUCUGCCCUAUCAACUUUCGAUGGUAGUAUAGAGGACUACCAUGGUGGUAACGGGUAACGGAGAAUCAGGGUUUGAUUCCGGAGAAGGAGCCUGAGAAACGGCUACUACUUCCAAGGAAGGCAGCAGGCGCGCAAAUUACCCAAUCCCAAUACGGGGAGGUAGUGACAAUAAAUAACAAUAUUGGAUUUUAUUAAAAAUCUAAUAAUUGGAAUGAGUACAAUCUAAACCCCUUAACGAGUAUCAAUU
Molecule: ribosomal RNA, 549 nt
Filed under: uncultured eukaryote
Lineage: Eukaryota
Description: bacterial SSU rRNA
Rfam family: Eukaryotic small subunit ribosomal RNA
Source: RNAcentral